This is a non-coding RNA of Ictidomys tridecemlineatus (thirteen-lined ground squirrel), 72 nucleotides long. The record is from Rfam. Lineage: Eukaryota; Metazoa; Chordata; Mammalia; Rodentia; Sciuridae.
UGGGUUGUGGCUCAGUGAUAGAGUGCUUGCUUGGCAUGAGUGAGGCACUGAGUUUGAUUCUCAGCAUCUCAU